Non-coding RNA from Trichonephila clavata, 73 nucleotides. The record is from the annotation of a GenBank genome assembly. NCBI's taxonomy places the organism in Eukaryota, Metazoa, Arthropoda, Arachnida, Araneae, Nephilidae.
CACCCUGUAGCUCAUUGAACAGCGCGUUGGACAUCUAAUCCAAAUGUCGUGGGUUUAAAUCCCACCUGGCUGA